This 452-nucleotide ribosomal RNA is filed under the name uncultured bacterium. RNAcentral describes it as "bacterial SSU rRNA". It matches the Rfam family "Bacterial small subunit ribosomal RNA", at positions 340 to 786 of the family's 1533-position model. The record is from RNAcentral.
UACGGAAGGCAGCAGUGGGGAAUAUUGCACAAUGGGCGCAAGCCUGAUGCAGCCAUGCCGCGUGUAUGAAAAAGGCCUUCGGGUUGUAAAGUACUUUCAGUCGUGAGGAAGGUGUUAAGGUUAAUAACCUUAGCAAUUGACGUUAGCGACAGAAGAAGCACCGGCUAACUCCGUGCCAGCAGCCGCGGUAAUACGGAGGGUGCGAGCGUUAAUCGGAAUUACUGGGCGUAAAGGGCACGCAGGCGGUUAAUUAAGUUGGAUGUGAAAUCCCCGGGCUUAACCUGGGAAUGGCAUUCAAGCUGGUUAGCUAGAGUCUUGUAGAGGGGGUAGAAUUCCAUGUGUAGCGGUGAAAUGCGUAGAGAUGUGGAGGAAUACCGGUGGCGAAGGCGGCCCCUGGACAAAGGCUGACGCUCAUGUGCGAAAGCGUGGGGAGCAAACAGGGAUUAGAUACC